GCCCCUGUAGCUCAAUGGAUAGAGCACCCGCCUUCGGAGCGGAGAAUGAGCGUUCGAUUCGUUCCAGGGGCA
Molecule: transfer RNA, 72 nt
Filed under: bacterium
Lineage: Bacteria
Description: tRNA-Arg
Rfam family: tRNA
About the family: Transfer RNA (tRNA) molecules are approximately 80 nucleotides in length.
Source: RNAcentral